This 465-nucleotide ribosomal RNA is filed under the name uncultured bacterium. RNAcentral describes it as "partial 16S ribosomal RNA". It matches the Rfam family "Bacterial small subunit ribosomal RNA", at positions 28 to 507 of the family's 1533-position model. The record is from RNAcentral.
AGCGAACGCUGGCGGCAUGCCUAACACAUGCAAGUCGCACGGGUCGGCUUCGGCCGGUCAGUGGCGGACGAGUGAGGAACGCGUAGGGAACUGUCCUCUGGUGGGCGAUAACCGCGGGAAACUGCGGCUAAGACCGCAUGGGGCGCCGGUGGGAGAGCCGGUGUCACAGGCGGGCAUCGCGAGGGGUGUGUCGCCGGGGGGUGUGCCUGGGUCCGAUUAGCGGGUUGGCGGGGUAGUGGCCCGCCAUGGUGGCGUGCGGUGGCUGGCCGGAGAGGGGGACCAGCCACGAUGGGACUGGGACACGGCCCAGACGCCUACGGGAGGCAGCAGUGGGGAAUAUUGGACAAUGGGCGCAAGACUGAUCGAGCAAUGCGGCGUGGGUGAAGAAGGUCUUCGGAUUGUAAAGCCCGCUCGGCGGGGACGAGGGUGACGGUACCCGCAGAAGAAGCCCCGGCUAACUUCGUG